This 1343-nucleotide ribosomal RNA is filed under the name uncultured bacterium. RNAcentral describes it as "partial 16S ribosomal RNA". It matches the Rfam family "Bacterial small subunit ribosomal RNA", at positions 171 to 1533 of the family's 1533-position model. The record is from RNAcentral.
CCAUAAGCGUCACGGCUUGUAGAGAGUUGUGAGAAAAGGUGCAAAUCACUGAGUGACGGGGCUGCGGCCCAUCAGCUAGUUGGUGCGGUAAUGGCGCACCGACGACGGGUAGGGGACCUGAGAGGGUGACCCCCCACACUGGGACUGAGACACGGCCCAGACUCCUACGGAGGCAGCAAGUGAGGAAUAUUGCACAAUGGGCGCAAGCCUGCUGCAGCGACGCCGCGUGGGUGAAGAAGGUCUUCGGAUCGUAAAGCCCUUUUCUGCGUGACGAGCAAGGACGGUAAGCGCAGGAAUAAGUCUCGGCUAACUACGUGCCAGCAGCCGCGGUAAAACGUAUGAGACAAACGUUAUCCGGAGUUACUGGGCGUAAAGGGCGUGUAGGCGGUUUAAGUCUGGCGUGAAAGCUCUCGGCUAAACCGGGAGCAGGUCGUUGCGAUACUGGCGAACUAGAGGAUAGUAGAGGCGGUGGAAUUCCGGGGUGUAGCGGUGAAUUGCGCAGAAAUCAGGAGGACACCGGUGGCGAAGGCGGGUCUCCUGGGCCGAUACUGACGCUGAGGAGGCGAAAGCGUGGGGAGCGAACAGGAUUAGAUACCCUGGUAGUCACGCUGUAAACGUUGGGCGCUAGGUGUGGGGGGCCUCUCCGGUUCUCUGUGCCGCAGCUAACGCAUUAAGCGCCCCGCCUGGGGAGUACGGCCGCAAGGCUAAAACUCAAAGGAAUUGACGGGGGCCCGCACAAGCAGCGGAGCGUGUGGUUUAAUUCGAGGCUACCCGAAGAACCUUACCUGGGUUUGACAUCACCGUAGUAGCGACGUGAAAGCGUUCGCGACCUUCGGGAGCGGUGACAGGUGCUGCAUGGCUGUCGUCAGCUCGUGUCGUGAGAUGUACGGUUAAGUCCGCAAACGAGCGCAACCCCCGGUCGUAGUUACAGGUGUCUACGACGACUGCCCGUGAGAAACGGGAGGAAGGUGGGGAUGACGUCAAGUCAGCAUGGCCUUGAUAUCCAGGGCGACACACACGCUACAAUGGACGGUACAAUCGGGAGCGAAAGCGCGAGCUGGAGCCAAUCCGGCAAAGCCGUUCGUAGUUCGGAUUGCAGGCUGCAACCCGCCUGCAUGAAGUUGGAGUUGCUAGUAACCGCCGGUCAGCCAAACGGCGGUGAAUACGUUCCCGGGCCUUGUACACACCGCCCGUCACGUCAUGGGAGCGGGUCACGCCUGAAGUCGGGAAGGCAACCGCAAGGCGCCUACCGCCGAGGGCAGGGCCGGUGACUGGGACGAAGUCGUAACAAGGUAGCUGUACCGGAAGGUGCGGCUGGAUCACCUCCUUAGCUAGACUUUGAU